This 301-nucleotide ribosomal RNA is filed under the name uncultured bacterium. Its description in RNAcentral is "partial 16S ribosomal RNA". It matches the Rfam family "Bacterial small subunit ribosomal RNA", at positions 509 to 809 of the family's 1533-position model. The record is from RNAcentral.
CAGUCGCCACGGGAAUACGUAGGGUGCGAGCGUUAAUCGGAAUUACUGGGCGUAAAGCGUGCGCAGGCGGUUUUGUAAGACAGGCGUGAAAUCCCCGGGCUCAACCUGGGAAUGGCGCUUGUGACUGCAAAGCUAGAGUGCGGCAGAGGGGGAUGGAAUUCCGCGUGUAGCAGUGAAAUGCGUAUAUAUGCGGAGGAACACCGAUGGCGAAGGCAAUCCCCUGGGCCUGCACUGACGCUCAUGCACGAAAGCGUGGGGAGCAAACAGGAUUAGAUACCCCCGUAGUCCAUGUCUCUUAUAA